UGCGGGAUAGAGCAGCCCGGUAGCUCGUCAGGCUCAUAACCUGGAGGUCGUCGGUUCAAAUCCGGCUCCCGCAACCA
RNAcentral lists this transfer RNA (77 nucleotides) under Verrucomicrobiaceae bacterium. Its description in RNAcentral is "tRNA-Met". It matches the Rfam family "tRNA". Rfam says of the family: Transfer RNA (tRNA) molecules are approximately 80 nucleotides in length. Their secondary structure includes four short double-helical elements and three loops (D, anti-codon, and T loops). RNAcentral also lists the same sequence under 1 other name. Lineage: Bacteria; Pseudomonadati; Verrucomicrobiota; Verrucomicrobiia; Verrucomicrobiales; Verrucomicrobiaceae. The record is from RNAcentral.